This 4522-nucleotide long non-coding RNA is filed under the name Homo sapiens (human). Its description in RNAcentral is "HSALNT0299032". The record is from RNAcentral. Lineage: Eukaryota; Metazoa; Chordata; Mammalia; Primates; Hominidae.
AGUGAGUGAGUUCUGAUAACAUUUGAUGGUUUUAUAAGGGGCUCUUCCCCCUUCACUCAGCACUUCUCCUUCCUGCCGCCUUUUGAAGAAGGUGCCUUGCUUCCCCUUUGCCUUCCGCCAUUAUUGUAAGUUUCCUGAGGCCUCCCCAGCCAUGCUGAACUGUGAUUCAUUUAAAACUCUUUCCUUUAUAAAUUACCCAGUCUCAGGCAGUUCUUUAUGGCAGUAUGAAAACGGACUAAUACAGAAAUGAAUCAUUAUCAUUGAAACUUUUAUCACUUUAAAGACAAGAGAUUGAUUUUGUUCUGGCCAUUUUCUUGAACAACUACAUCUGGGGGUGUAGUACUGAAAAUUCAGCACUCUCUGGAACCCACGUUCUCUCCCUUCUGGGUUAGGGAAUAACAUCAAGUCUCCUUCCUUUGAGCCCUGGAUCAAAGAGACCUGAUAGGUGAUUGAUUGUGUGGGCAGAAUGGAGACUUGGGAAAUGGAGUCACAUUCUGCCCUUCAUUGUCCCUCAGGAACUACUUAUGCCCUCAUUGUUUUAUCCAAUUUUAGGUGUGCUUUUAAAUGUACAUAUCACAUACACUUUUCCACUGUGGAAAAGACACAACCACAAACUCCAGCAUGAAGAACAGCCCAGUUGACCUCCCUCAUCUUUACAAUAGGACAAAACAGCUUCUUGAGUUCAUUGGAAACAAAGCCUUUCCUACAGGGAUGAGACCUUUUCCCAUUGUUUAUUUAUUUAUUCACUCAAGAAACAUUGAACUCCUACUAUAAAAAUUGCCCUUCCUAUAAAUGAAUGAAUUCAAGCUACAGAGGUUAAAAGGCUUAGAGAAAAUUAUCCAGCAAGCAAUGAAAAUUUUGAGUGUCGACUCCAGGGACGCUUGGUUUUAAAUCCAUGCAAUAAAUCAUUAAACUACACACAGACACACACACAGCAGUUUAAUUAAUGUUGAGCAACAGGUUUUUAAAAAUUAUUCCUCAUUUGAUUUUUAUUUGUGAUAAGAAAAUGUAAAAUAAUCAUUUUUAAAGAUUCAUGCAUAGCCCACUAUUCUCACUUUUCCAGCCCUUGUUUGUACAAAACUAUAUUUUCAACAAACUGUAGCCAGCACAUUUUUAUUCUUCUUUUGUGUUUAAUAUUACGGUAUUUUCCAUUUUGCUAUAUAAUCAUAAUCAUUGUUUUAUUGCUGCAUAAUAUUCUAUCAAAUUGAUAUACCAUAGCUUAGCUAUUCCCACAUAAUUGGACAUUAAAUCCUUCCGAUGUUUUGUUGUUACAGGUAAUGCUGCUGUGAUAACUUCAUGUGUGUAGCUUUUCCUUUCCUUUAAAUUAUGUCCUGUGAAGAGAUUCCCAGGAGUGAAACUACUGAAAGAUAAGAAAGAGUGGUAUAGUUGAGAUGAAAUUAGCAUUAGGAACAGAAUUGAAGACAAAGAUCAGCCCAGCAAUGGCCCAUUCCCCUGCAGGGAGAAUUCUCAACCAGAUAUUGACUGGUUUAAUUGAUUUCGUGGUGUUCCUGCUCAUCAUGAAUAUAUCCACAAUAACCACAUCAGGUGAGUCACUGUUGGACAAUUCUUAACAUUUACGAUGAGCAAUGUCGAUCCUACAGCUAUAUCGUAUUGAUCUCCUUCGAUACUGCUCUCGUUGGUCUGUGCUCCUCCUAUUUUGUCUACAGAUAAAAAGUGUAGAGUCAUGAAGAAUCCAGGAUUUAAAGACUAGAGGUCUGGACUGAAGUUGUCUUCUACUUAGCACUUGUGUGAUUUUUUAAGCUGAUCACUUACCUUGUUGAUCCUGCAAAAUGAAGCCUGUCUUUCAGGGUUGUGGAAAAACUCAAAAGAGCCAAUACAUAUGAAAAUCUUUUUUUAAAAAAAGCAACAUAUACAUACGUACUUCAAAAUUUUUUAAAAAUUUCUGCUAUACGGAGUGAACAGAACCAAUCUGAAGCAGGAUGCAACCCAGUCAAGCGAGAACACUGUACUCAACCUAAAAAAGUGACUCUCAAGAGGUACCUGGUAAUUCAGGUAGAUUUCUUAAUAUAAAAAGGAGUAUUUUCAAUUUCUGGUUCUGUAGACCCACCUUCCCCAAACUUCACAAUGGUCCCAGACACUUGGGAGAACUUGAAUGCUUGAGAUGCAAAGUGCUUUGGGUAACUUCUAUUUAAUCUGCUCAGCUCAGCAAAGCUGUGGGUAAAUAUUCAAAAACACCCAAGGGUUUGUCUAGAGCAACCUCCCCAAUCUGGGGAAUUGCACACAGCCAGAGCUUGCUUGGGAUGGCCUUAGCCACAGUCCUCCUUCCACUGCCUGGCCCCUGCCUGUUUCACAUCAUCCGCCCGUAAGCAAUGUGGUAAAGCAGAUUCCAGUCCCUCGUGAAUUCCCCAAAGGUGCAUUUCAAUAUGAACCCCCUUGAUUUGCCAUUCUCUUUUGCCUCUACCUAACUUUAAUAACUUUUCCCUAAUUUUUACCAAUAUUUUCCACUUGGGGCUUUUAUUAUUUAGAUGUCUUUUUCUUACCUCAUGUAUUUGCAUUUCCUUUGUAGAAGAGAAGGGGAGAGUGGCAGUUCCUGAUUACUUGAGAACUUCAGGGAAGCCUGAAGACCCACCUGGAAUGUGAAUAAGAGUUUUCAGGUGAUGGCAGCCUUAUUUUAGGGAGCCUAAUUCCUCUUCUGAAAUUGUCUUCAGAUCCAAUUUUCAUACCACCUGUGAGUACCAAUCUCAUCUAGAUGGUCACCUCCUUUUUUGACUUGAGGGUAUAUUGUUCAUAUUGAUCACCUUCCUAAUAGUAAUAAUAGCUAUGCAAUAUUUUCAGACCCUGUCUUAAGCAUUUUAAAUGUAUUACUUUAUUUAAUUCUGUGACAGUCUUAUGGCAGCAAUCCUAUGACAAAAGUAAUCAGUCAGAAAAAUGGAAACCUUGUUAAGUGUUCUAAACAGAUUGUGAUUUAAUAUAAGGAAUUUCCAAUUGAGAAAGACUAGAGAACAAAAUGUUAAGAAAGGCCACCACUAACUUUCAGGUUCACCAUGUGGCCUGAGGAAUCAGGAAAUUGCUGCUACUGCUCAUGUUAGGAAAUUACAAGAAGCCUUCACCAAUGGUCAUAAUCAACCUACAGCACAAAGGAGUCUUCAUGAACCUUUUGUUCACAACCUCAAUCAGUGAAGAGAGGAAGUCCGCUUUCAGCUCCUCUCCAGGAUCCCCGUGGGUGGCUUCCCUCCACCAUAUGUUCCUCCGAAGCUGUGCUGCCCAGCCACUUGCCUUGGGGCUCGGUACAAAUGCAUCUUGGAGGUGAAGUGCUGGGGAAGACGAAAGUGCUCUUUCCAGAUGGCACCAAAUUAGCCUCUUGAGAUACGGAUUUGCCGGGAAUAUGUUUAUAAGGAAAGCAAACAAAGGAGUCCCUGGAGAUUUUAAACAGUCUAGGGCCUUGGGUGGGAAAUGGGGGAGGUAAGGAAGAAGGCUGGGGAAAGAGGCUGGAGAAGGCAGUAGGGCAAGGGAGGGGGGCAUCUAUCCCAAACCCACCCACAGCCAACUCUCGCCUCCUCCUGGCCAUUCACAAGGAAGCCAGUUUCAUUGCCAGACAACACACAUUAUCAGUAUGAUUUAAAAAUAAUGAUCUGAUUAAUUUAAAUGUGAAUCUGAUUGCCUUUAAUAUUGAAACACUGGCUCUAACAACGCCUUCAAGAGCUUAAAAAGAAGUCUUGCUUGUCUUAUGUAGCUAGUGUUUAUUUUGUACUUACUAUGAGUCAGGCAUUAUCACAUUUAAUUCACAAAAGUCACACCAAGAGGUAGACAUGAUUACAAUGUCUAUAUUACAGAUAAGGACACAAAGGUUUAGAGAAGUUUUAAAAAGGUAAAAAAACAUAUCUAAGAUUACAUAUCUAGUAGGUGGCACCUCUGAGCUGUAUACUCAGGGUUGUGAAACCAAACUCAGUGUUGAUAACCUCAAUGCUCAACUGCCUCUACGUAGCUGAAGCACUGCCUCCUGCCCUCUGCCCUCUCUGCUUCCCAGAAUCAUCACCCUUUUCUGUGAGUUCUUCUUUAUUGGCUGAGAGACACCAGACCCUUCAUAAUCCUGAUUUCUCUCCUCAGGUUCUCAGUGAUCUAGUGCUUCACACUAUACUUGAUCAUGUUGCCCAGCUAGUGUUGGGUUGAUUAUUGUUUUCUUUGUUUUAUCAAGAAUGACAAACAAGAAGCUGUGUUGGGUGAGUGUCCCCAGAAACUGAUCCUGAGACAAAGAUUUAGGUGUGAGUGGUUUAUUUGGGAGGUGAUUCCUGGAAGCAUCUGUGGAGGACUGGGGAGGUGAGACAGACUGGAAAGGCAUCCAAUGGUGACUGCCAUGGGCAACUGAGACUUAACUUGCUGGUGAACUGUGGGAGAGGCUGCAGAGCACACCUGAGAAUUUUUCCCUCUAAGGGGCGAGGAUGUUAGGGAUAUUUAUCUUCCCACUCUCAUCUGUCAGAGGGAUUUACUUCACAGCACUCCCAGCCUCCCCCAUGUGCAGAUCAAGAGAAAGUGCCUAGGCAGAAGUUGCAGGUGCUUGCAA